CGGGUUGAAAUUUUGCAGGGUUGUUGAAAUCAAAUUUAGGGACUUUACUGACGGGACUCUGGGCUGGCUGCUCUGUUCACUCGUCAGCGCAAGUGGCGUGACCAUGUAAUUGGGGCACGGGGCCGGCGCGGCGCGCUGCGGGCUUGCAGAAUUUUGUUUGUUUGUUUGGCCGCGCGCUGGCGCAGCCACGGGCCGCAGUUACUGGGGCGCGCUGUCGUAACAAGCCGCGCGGUGUGGCCUGCACAUUGGGGUAGAGGGGGGGUAGUCUUCCCAGAUGUUCUAGUUAGUUGUUUAGUAAAUUUGACUUCAAUAACGAGCUUUUGUUAUGGUAGGCGCGGCAGGGCGCGCGAAUUUAAGCGCAAGUGAGUGGUGACUCGGGGCUCACUCAGGCGGAGGCUAUGCGUCUCACCUGUGGUCACGAGUUGUUAGUUCGUUCGUGAUGUAGGAAUUCAGGCUUUCGGGCGGAAGCUAUGGUCGACGCCAGAGGCCACGAGUCGUUUAAUUUAAGUUAGGUCAUAAUGUAGUCGUCAAGCUUUCGGGCGGAGGCUAUGGCCCUCGUCAGGGGUCACGCGUCAUAGUUUUUAAAAUGUAAUGUUCGUUCGGGAUUUCAAGGGCAGGAGAGGCCCCUACGUUAUUUUUUUAAAGUAAUCGAUCAAGAAAGGCUUUUCGGAAAAUGUGAGUAUGGACUUAUCUUUGUUUUAAUUUUAAGUAUUAAUUAUGAUUUGAGGUAUUCGGAAGGACUAGGGAAGUGUUUAGUGAAGUUCUCUCAUUCUCUCUCUUGUAAGGUCGUUCAAUCGUUAAGGAAGUAAAGAGAUUAUUGUUUUAAAUUGUAAUCCCGCUAUUUAAAUGUUCUUUAAAAUGAUGUUGAGUAUUUGACUUUAAGAAUAAAAUAAUUUUAAUUAAGUAUUAUGUUAUUUUGCAAAAUCUCCUUAGUUCAGCUCUCACCAGACAUCCUGUACGGGAUGACGAACCUAUGAUCCUAGGUACAGUAAAGUAUUUUAUGAAGUUAAGACUAGUUGAUGCCAAGCGAGUUGUUUCUAUGUAAAGAGCUACGAUUCUCGCCCCCCCCCCCCCCUCUGAAGGUGGAUCGUGACAGAAAUGGUAGAGUUCGCCGGAUAGGUUCUAUUUCUGGAGAGAGAGAGGUAGAUUUUUAUGUUUAUUAUUAAGUUAGUUUCAGCUUCUGAUAGCAGGUUAUUAAGAGUUUACUUGAGGAGAGGAUUACGGAAUUUUAGUCUAUAGUGGAGGAAGUCUUUGAGAUUUUUUUUUUGACGUAACAGAUGUUUAUUUGAGUAUACUUGUAAGGAUAAAGUUUAUAGUGAUAAGUUGUUUUAAGUCGUUGAGUUUAUCAGGGAUUUUUACGUGAGGAGAAUACGUUAUAAUUUAAAUGAUUAAUAGAGAUAAUGCAAGUGGUUUAAUUUAAUUGAAAUUAAUUUUAAGAUUGUAGGUUAAGAGAGUUAAAAUUUAAAAUAAAGUUUUUUUCGUAAAUAGGAAUUAUUUUCAAGUGAAGUUUGUUUUGCUGUCGUGCGCGUAGGAGACGAGACGUACGAAUUAAAUCAGUCGAGGGAAGGAUAAACGUUAGAAAGGAAUUAAAGAGAAAACGAGAGUUUAUGUAAAAGAGAGUUAUAGAAUUUAUAGUGAUGUUUUGUUUUAAUUAGAAAAAUGUUGAGAGUUGUUUCAGAACGACACGUCAGUGGACGUGGCAGAAUGAACACGUGACGGGGAGGUGCUGAGACCUAGCGGAGAACGGAGGAACCGCAAGCGAGGGUUGGCGCACCUGAUGGAAUUCGGUGACGUCACGAGCACGUACAGAGACGUGGACGGCCGUGACCUUGUUUUGAUCAGCUGUACGGUAACUUAGCGAUAAGAAAAUAGACUAUUGGUUAAAUAAAUUUAAAUUUAAGUGUGUUUUAGAAGAAGAGGAACUUUCAGUAUAUUCCUUAAGAUGAGCUGAGCAGCAGUCCAGUUUACAAGAUGACAAGAGUUCGAGAGACAAGAUACAAGAUCACUGAAACAAGAGCCAAGACUGAAGAUUCAAGAGAAGAGAAAGCUGGCAGCCAUGGACUUACAAGUGGAGAUUAAUAAGGUCAUGUAAAGUUUUAUUUUUUUUUAUGGAAGACAGUAACUGGAGUUUUUUUUUGUUAUAAACAUUAUUUACAGAACUUUUUAGGUUAUAGUAAUGUAAUGGAACUAGUGAGUUGUGGUAGCUGUCAAAAAGAACUAAUACCUUAAGUUUAAUUUUUAAAGUUAAUUUUCUUAAUUUACAGAGGGAUUAGUAGUUUUUUUUAAAACCUUAUUUAGGUUGGAAUUUAAAUACAAUAGCUUAUUAUAAAUGUGUACGAACAGUUCAAGUUCACAGUACUGAUAGGUAGGUCAGAUGAUCUUAUUGAUUUUGAUGAUUUGUUGUUUUGAGUUGAUUUUUAAGUGUUGUGAAUUAGACAAUGAAAUAGUUCUGAAAACUUAAAUUAUUUCAAGCUAAGAAAUAGUAAAGUUAAUUGUAACUCAAAGGACACCAGAAUUUAAUUUUUUUUUGAAUUAGUAAUGUUUGAAAAUUUUAUACUUUACAAGAAAGGUUAUAAACAAACAGAUCGGAUGGAACAAGGAUGCAGUAAAUCACAAUUUCAUUUAGAAUUAUUGAUUAGCUUUUGAGGUUAUGAAGUAAAAGUAAUUAUAGUUUAAAAGUUUGAAUAAAAAAAAAUGUUUUUUUUUAUUUGUUUCAAAUAGAAAGUUUAAAAGUUAAUUAGUCAUGAUCUAGGUGGGUGAUGGGGUGGGAAUUGGCCACUCUUUUUCCCUAUAACCUCCCUAACAUGGCCUUCUAUUACAACUAACAGAAAUAAAGAAGAAGAAAAA
This is a long non-coding RNA of Bacillus rossius redtenbacheri, 2847 nucleotides long. RefSeq lists it as uncharacterized. Lineage: Eukaryota; Metazoa; Arthropoda; Insecta; Phasmatodea; Bacillidae. The record is from RefSeq and is a predicted model, not a curated record. The transcript has 2 exons.